CAAGCACAGUUCUAGGCACAUGGCAAGCCAAGACGAAACGGCGGCGGUUUCUAUUGUUAGCAUGGGAAUGGUGUUCUGGGACUCUUGAGCAAGCCCUGGGAAUGCAGCAUGAGGUGAAAACCAGCAAUGCAGGGAAGAGAGAAGAGGGAAGAGAAGGGAGCUCCUGGCUCCUCUGGAACCCCAAACUUUGCCUCCAGCAGUUCAGAUGCUGGGUGCUCACAGAGGGUACAAGGAAGUGUUGAAGCCCCUGGGCCUGAAGUUGCAGAUGGUUGUGAGCCACCCUAUGGAUGCUGGAAAUUGAACCCAGGUCCUCUGCAAGGUCAGUAUUCUUAACCACUGGGCCACCUCUCUACUUAUCAUCGAGCAGUGUCUAGGGAUCCUUUUGUCUUGGCCUCCUCAGCACUGGGAUUGUAGGUGCUAUCAGAGCAUCUGGCUUUUACGUGGUGCUGGGGAUCCAAGUCCAGGCAGAUCCUUGUGCGUGGCGAGCAUUUUACCAGCGUCCAUCCCCCUCCCACCCUGCCCGUCUUCCCUGCUUUGCAAAGAACAGAGACUCCAGUGCUGCAGGGCUGUGUAGGAAUGGGCAUCGGGCUUGU
This is a non-coding RNA of Myodes glareolus (Bank vole), 593 nucleotides long. The record is from RefSeq and is a predicted model, not a curated record. NCBI's taxonomy places the organism in Eukaryota, Metazoa, Chordata, Mammalia, Rodentia, Cricetidae.